GGCCUUCGCUAGGGGUGCGUGGCUGAUCAGACGAUCGGCACACGCUGAGAGAGUCCCUUUGAACCUGAACGAGGUCAUCCUCGCGUAGGGAAGCACAAGCCGAACCCA
RNAcentral lists this non-coding RNA (108 nucleotides) under Burkholderiales bacterium. RNAcentral's name for it is "TPP sequence". It matches the Rfam family "TPP riboswitch aptamer (THI element)". Rfam says of the family: Vitamin B(1) in its active form thiamin pyrophosphate (TPP) is an essential coenzyme that is synthesised by coupling of pyrimidine and thiazole moieties in bacteria. The previously detected thiamin-regulatory element, thi box was extended, resulting in a new, highly conserved RNA secondary structure, the THI element, which is widely distributed in eubacteria and also occurs in some archaea. Analysis of operon structures identified a large number of new candidate thiamin-regulated genes, mostly transporters, in various prokaryotic organisms. The record is from RNAcentral. Lineage: Bacteria; Pseudomonadati; Pseudomonadota; Betaproteobacteria; Burkholderiales.